RNAcentral lists this ribosomal RNA (460 nucleotides) under uncultured bacterium. Its description in RNAcentral is "bacterial SSU rRNA". It matches the Rfam family "Bacterial small subunit ribosomal RNA", at positions 343 to 794 of the family's 1533-position model. The record is from RNAcentral.
UGGAGGCAGCAGUGGGGAAUCUUCCGCAAUGGACGAAAGUCUGACGGAGCAACGCCGCGUGAGUGAAGAAGGUCUUCGGAUUGUAAAGCUCUGUCGUUUGGGACGAACGUGGGAUGUGUGAAUAAUGCAUCCUAAUGACGGUACCAAAGGAGGAAGCCACGGCUAACUACGUGCCAGCAGCCGCGGUAAUACGUAGGUGGCAAGCGUUGUCCGGAAUUAUUGGGCGUAAAGGGCGUGUAGGUGGAUAAUUAAGUCGUGUGUCUAAGUGCGGGGCUCAACCCCGUAUGGGCGCAGGAAACUGGAUAUCUUGAGUGCAGGAGAGGAAAGUGGAAUUCCCAGUGUAGCGGUGAAAUGCGUAGAUAUUGGGAGGAACACCAGUGGCGAAGGCGACUUUCUGGACUGUGUCUGACACUGAGGCGCGAAGGCUAGGGGAGCGAACGGGAUUAGAUACCCCGGUAGU